Molecule: ribosomal RNA, 319 nt
Filed under: uncultured eukaryote
Lineage: Eukaryota
Description: partial 18S ribosomal RNA
Rfam family: Eukaryotic small subunit ribosomal RNA
Source: RNAcentral
CCCUUAGAUGUUCUGGGCUGCACGCGUGCUACAAUGGCGUUUCCAGCAAGUCUGCGAACCCGAGAGGGCCAGCGGAUCUUCGAAUUGGCGUCGUGAUCGGGACAGUCGAUUGCAAUUAUUUGACUCAAACGAGGAAUUCCUUGUAAUCGCGAUUCAUCAUAUCGCGCUGAAUACGUCCCUGCCCUUUGUACACACCGCCCGUCGCUCCUACCGAUUGAGCGAUCCGGUAAAUGUUUUGGAUUGGUGCAGGGGCGGCUAGCUGCCGGUCGCUACGAAAUUUUGUGAACCUUAUCGCUUAGAGGAAGGAAAAGUCGUAACA